Molecule: unclassified non-coding RNA, 214 nt
Filed under: Hevea brasiliensis (rubber tree)
Lineage: Eukaryota; Viridiplantae; Streptophyta; Magnoliopsida; Malpighiales; Euphorbiaceae
Source: RNAcentral
GAAGCUUUCUGCACAGGAACUGCAAUGGUUGUUAAUCCUGUUGGUAGUGUAACCUAUCAUGAAAAGAGGUACAGCAGCUAUGUCGUAUAUUUUGUUUCAAACUCGAAUCUCACAACCUUGAAAAUGAUUUAAAUACCACUGAGCCAAAGCCUAUGUUGUAAUUUGCAAGUUAAAGUAAACAGUUCUUUUUCCCUUUCUGAUCUUGAGGAUAUUC